Bombyx mori (domestic silkworm) is the source of this 1964-nucleotide RNA transcript. It is a transcript of the gene named prostatic acid phosphatase, with no coding region annotated. The record is from RefSeq and is a predicted model, not a curated record. The transcript has 7 exons. Lineage: Eukaryota; Metazoa; Arthropoda; Insecta; Lepidoptera; Bombycidae.
GAGCAGAAACUACACGAGUCGCAGUCGAAAACGGUCCGCGAACGCGCGUACCAAUGUACCGCUGAUAACAAAAUUAGCUAAAUCGACUCGGCUACAUACGUAUCAAGCAUGAAACUAUUCUCGACUGUAUGGUUUCUGUUAGUCGUUAGUUGGUGCUCCGAAAGUACGCCCACGAGAAGGCUCGUCGAGCAGAAUGUCGUGUCUGACAAGAGUCUACAGGAUACCGAUUUGCUCUUAACGUUCGUGGUAUUUCGUCAUGGCGACCGUACACCGGAUCAAGAAGAACUGGCGUUGUUUCCGUCAUCUACACAGGGCAAUAAGGACUUGUUCUACCCUUACGGAUUGAAGGCAUUAACAAAUAUGGGUAAACGUCGAGCCUGUUCAGUCGGGAAAUAUCUCAGAAAGAACUAUGAUGGAUUCCUUUCGAGGUUAUACCUACCAGACGAGAUUGUUAUCCGCACUACGGAUUAUGAUCGCACUAAAAUGACAGCUUUAACUGCGAUGGCCGGAUUGUACCCACCAGAGCCGGAGCAACGAUGGAACCCCACAUUAAACUGGCAACCCGUCCCAUAUAACACUCCACCGCGCGAUGAAGAUGACUUACUAUAUUACUACAACUGCCCUCGUUAUAUUGCACUAAGAGAUGAAACAGCUAGUUUGCCGGAAAUCCAAGAUUUAUUGGCGCCGUACAAAGACCUCUUUCAAUAUUUAGAACAGCACACGAAAACUAAUAUUACUACAUCGGAAGAUGUUUUUUAUUUAGACAAUCUAUUUCAAACACUGAGAAAUGUCGGCGUUGAAACGCCAAAAUGGGCACAGGAAGUGAUGCCGCAAAUAAAAGAAGUUACAAAAAUCGAAUAUGCCAUUCAGUAUUAUACUCCCGAAUUGAUAAGACUAUCAGCUGGGGUUUUGUUAAACGAAAUCUUAAAUGCGACCGCUUCAUAUUUGUCCGGUGAUACCGAGCAACAUAAAGCACGUUUGUAUUCGGCACACGAAAACAAUGUAGCGGCAAUAAUGGCAGCCGCUAAAGUUUUCAUACCUCAUCAGCCUAAUUACGGGUCUACGAUAGCCAUUGAAUUCCGAAGGAAUCGCACUACCGGAAAAUAUGGUUUCGCGGUAAGUCUGGAUUUCACGAAAUUUACAAUGUUUUUCCUUCUUUCUAACACUUAAAAUAUAUUUAAAGAAAAAUGUAAGCCACUAUCACAAUAUACCUACUGUUACAAUAAUUCUGUCUUUCGUUUUGAUUAUUCGUACUUUGGAGCAACGCCUUGUGAAAUUGAUAUGAAAAAUUCAGUGGUGAUCUAUUUAAAUAUUAUUCACACACCUGUUUAAUCCGGAAUCUUUUCAGAAUCAGAUACUUCUAUAUUGUGAAUAAUACAAACGACUGUUCGAUGACCUUCGAUAAAUGACAACCAUGCAACUACUAAGGUGAAGUAAUUUAAAUUGACCGUGAAAUUAAAACCAUUAAUCUAUUGCUUUAAAUAUUGACUUUCAUGUAAACUUGAACUUUGUUUUAUUUUGUUUUAAGUUUAAUAAAUUUAGGAAAACGUUUGUUCUUGUGAAACCUCUGUCACAAAUACAAAAUCACAUUCGUGACGAAUUAUCGUGAAUAGGAUUUAUUUUGUACAAUGUUAUUUUCAGUAAAUAUUAUGACUGUGUCUUGUGUGUUUGUUAAAGCUUAUUAUUAUUGUGUGCUCAGGCGGUGUAUGCAUGCGAUGCCGGCGGCCCGGGGAAGGUCCUCUCCGUAGACGGAUGCGGCGGAGAAGCGUUUUGUGAAUACGAAAAAUUCGUCAAUCUAGUCCAAUCUUAUAGAAUUACAUUAGAAGAUUUUGAAUACAUCUGUCCGAUAUUAACUUAAGCUUGAAUUGAAUUUCAAUUAAUUUGUUUGUUAGUUUGUGUUUCAUUGAUGCGAUUUAAAAUUGUUGUUUAAUAAAAUGGCUGUGAUUACGAAAGAAAGGUUUCUG